This 372-nucleotide long non-coding RNA is filed under the name Cricetulus griseus (Chinese hamster). RNAcentral's name for it is "lncRNA (ENSCGRG00000026671.1)". The record is from RNAcentral. Lineage: Eukaryota; Metazoa; Chordata; Mammalia; Rodentia; Cricetidae.
UUCAGAUGCUGUGAGAGUGGAUGCUGCCUGCAGAAGGAAACCAUUUGGGAUUCUUCAAACGACUCCUUAAGAUGAAGCACUUCUGUCGCAAGUGCAGACAGCCAGAUCAGAACCCCAGAAGCCAUCAUCAGACACCUCCAGAAGCACCGACCACGGCUCCCCUAGAGAUCUGGGUCCCCACCUUGGAUCCCCCACCACCCUAUGAUCAGGUGAGUCUUUCUGUCCCAAUCCUUAGCUUGUUUCACAGCUGGCUAUCCAACUUGUUGAAGUCACAGACAGGGGAGAGCUGCCAACCAACUUCAUCAUUCCUUAGGCAGGCCUGAAGCAAGCUAAGUACCCUUUCUCCCCUGCAGGUCAUCAUGAAGCCUGUAG